Molecule: long non-coding RNA, 1995 nt
Organism: Myxocyprinus asiaticus (Chinese sucker)
Lineage: Eukaryota; Metazoa; Chordata; Actinopteri; Cypriniformes; Catostomidae
Exons: 2
Source: RefSeq, a predicted model, not a curated record
AACAAACAUAAAUCAAGAUAAGAUUUAUUUUCUUGCUGGAAAAUUCAGCUUAAGCUGGUUGCUGUGUUUUGGAACAUGGUAGCUGGUCGAAGCGGGUCCUUAGCUGGUCCUAGCUGGUCCUUAGCUGGUCCUAAGCCAGUCCUUAGCCGGUCCUAAGAUGGUCCAAAGAUGGUCCAAAGAUGGUCCAAAGAUGGUCCAAAGAUGGAAGCUGGUCCUAGCUGGUCCUUAGCUGGUCCUAAGCCAGUCCUUAGCUGCUCCUUAGCAUGGUCCAAAGAUGGUCCAAAGAUGGAAGCUGGUCCUAGCUGGUCCUAAGCCAGUCCUUAGCCGCUCCUUAGCAGGUCCAAAGAUGGUCCAAAGAUGGAAGCUGGUCCUAGCUGGUCCUUAGCUGGUCCUAAGCCGGUCCUAAGCCAGUCCUUAGCCGCUCCUUAGCAGGUCCAAAGAUGGUCCAAAGAUGGUCCUAAACUGUUCCUCAGCUGGUCCAAGCUGGUCCUAAAAUGGUCCUUAGCUGGUCAAGCUGAUCCUAAGCUGGCCCUAAAAUGGUCCUUAGCUGGCCCUAAAAUGGUCCUUAGCUGGCCCUAAGAUGGUCCUUAGCUGGUUCAUGCUGGUCGACCAGCUAGCAUAUUCCAAAAACCACCUUAACCACCUUGAGCUGGUAUGACAAGCUGGUAGAUUCUCUAAGAUGGUCUCCUAGCUGGGACCAGCUCAUGACCAGCUAGAAACCAGCUACCAGCUACCAUGUUCCAAAACACAGAAGCUUAAACUGGAUUUUUCAUUAGGGUACAAAUGUCAGUAAGAACAUACAGUGUAAAUAUCUGUAUGUAUAACAGAAUUUAAUAUACAUGCAAUUUAAUAUAAACAGCUACCACUUGGUCAUUUUAAAUAUAGGCUAUGUUGCACUUACAAACAAAUAUGAGUAUUAGUGUGAAAUAUGAAAUCAGUUCAUAUGAAAACCAUAUUAUGUAGCCUAUAUAUGGCAUGCAUUGCCAGUCUGUAUGGGCAACAAUGAUAACACUUUUCUGUAGAUCUUCAUAGAUGAUGUCAUAACAUUACAGUGGAAGGGGCACAAUAUAUAACGUAAUGACGGCACACAUAAACAGGUAGAGUUUCACAUUAGAGUUUUAAAUGAAAUAUCGCGAGAUUGAGGCGAGCAAGACGGGGAGAAUGCGGAAACUGAUAUGCGAUUGUGCAGCAACGAUAUUAAAAUGAAACAAGAAACUGGAUCAUGGGUGUAACAUAGAGGCGCUACAAAAUAUAUUAAGAUAUUUUUCCCGCGAUAAACCAAAGGAUACGGGAUUUACGUCUACGUUUGAGGAUUCGAUGAGCCAUACAGAGCGUUAAACAUUGGUGUAUUGGGUUUAUAUUUGGUAAAUAAAAUAUAAAUAAAGACAUGUACAUGUUUAGAAACUAUUGAGAACUGAAACUAAAGGAUCUUUCAUUAUAUUGGAGCUACAGGUGCGACGGAUAGUCCUGAAAAUACGGAUCCAGAACAUAAAACUGUUCCAGCCGCAGCAGAUAUCAGCACUAUCAGAGAUGAUUUGAAAUGGAGUACUGGAAUAGAGAAACAUCUAUGAAAGCUUCGGUUUACACCAUGAACUCUUUAGAUGUUUCUUCUAAUGUUUAAAACAGAGUAACUUAAAGUAGAUGGCAGCUGACUCUUUUUGAGUUACAGGAGGUCAGUGAGGAAACCUCAAAACAUGUAUUUGUAAAAAUGUGAAGAUCCACAAAUGAGGAAACCCAAGGGUACAAUUGCUAAAAGUCUUACUGAAAACUAAAGGUUGAGCAUAGAGUUCGGUGGAAUAAACUGAAGAACUGGUUUCACAAAUAUUUACACAUUGUUUUUGUGUGUGUUCAUAUAUGCAUGGAUUAUUUUUGGACAUUUGUAACCUCAAGUUUCACGGUUUUAAAUGUGUGUGUUCUUUUGAGUUGUGUUGAUCAGUGAUGCAUUAGCUAAUUGACCUGUAAUUACUCCUUAUAUUAAAAUAAAAGUUUAAAAUU